This 656-nucleotide ribosomal RNA is filed under the name Pseudoniphargus portosancti. Its description in RNAcentral is "12S ribosomal RNA". The record is from RNAcentral. Lineage: Eukaryota; Metazoa; Arthropoda; Malacostraca; Amphipoda; Allocrangonyctidae.
AAAAAAAAAAAAAACGUAAAAUACAUUGCUUAAAAUAUUGAUAUAAAUAUUAUUUUUAUGACAUGUUUAGAGGGUUAGUUAAUAAUUUUUAUAAUAGAAAUAUUUAGUUAAAUUAGUAAAAUUUGUGCCAGCAUCUGCGGUUAGACUAAGAAUUUGGUUGAUAUAUUUUAGAGUUUAUGAUGAGUUUAAUUUAUGGGGUAUGAUUUGGUGAAAUAAUAGUUUGAAAUUUAAUUGUAUUGAUUAAUAUAGCUUUAUUAAAAGCAGGAUUAGAUACCCUGUUAUAUAUUUUGAGUAUUUUCUAAGGAUUAAUGUUAAAUUUAAAAGAUUUGGCGGCUAAAAAAAAUUAAAGGAGUUUGUUUUUUUAUUUGAUGAGACACACUAUGUCUUACUUAUUUUGUUUAGUAUACCGUCAUUUAAGAUAGCUUAUAAUUAAUUAGUUGUCUAAGUGUGUUUAAAUAAAUUAGAUCAAGGUGCAGAUAUAAAUAAGGAAAAAUUAACUACAAUAGAAUAUUACUAUACUUGAUUUUUUUAAUACUAUUGUGUAGGUGGAUUUAAUUGUAAUUAAAAUUUUAUGAAAUUGGUUUUAGUGUACAAAUUGCCCGUCAUUCUCUAUGAGACAAGUCGAAACAAAGUAGGGCUAUCGGAAGUUGGACCUA